CACGUAGGCGGAUUGGAAAGUUGGGGGUGAAAUCCCAGGGCUCAACCCUGGAACUGCCUCCAAAACUCCCAGUCUGGAGUUCGAGAGAGGUGAGUGGAAUUCCGAGUGUAGAGGUGAAAUUCGUAGAUAUUCGGAGGAACACCAGUGGCGAAGGCGGCUCACUGGCUCGAUACUGACGCUGAGGUGCGAAAGUGUGGGGAGCAAACA
Molecule: ribosomal RNA, 207 nt
Filed under: uncultured bacterium
Lineage: Bacteria
Description: partial 16S ribosomal RNA
Rfam family: Bacterial small subunit ribosomal RNA
Source: RNAcentral